CCCUUAGAUGUCCUGGGCUGCACGCGCGCUACACUGAUGUGUCCAGUAAGCACCUAACCUCUUCCGAAAGGAACGGGUAACCUUUGCAAAGCACAUCGUGAUGGGGAUAGAUUAUUGCAAUUAUUAGUCUUGAACGAGGAAUUCCUAGUAAGCACAAGUCAUCAGCUUGUGUUGAUUACGUCCCUGCCCUUUGUACACACCUCCCGUCGCUCCUACCGAUUGAAUGUUCCGGUGAGCUCUUCGGACUGCGCGGUCUGCAGUUUCUGCGUUCCGUGCGGAAAGUUGCGCAAACCUUAACAUUUAGAGGAAGGAGAAGUCGUAACA
RNAcentral lists this ribosomal RNA (324 nucleotides) under uncultured eukaryote. RNAcentral's name for it is "partial 18S ribosomal RNA". It matches the Rfam family "Eukaryotic small subunit ribosomal RNA", at positions 1470 to 1796 of the family's 1831-position model. The record is from RNAcentral.